UAUAAUAAAAACAAAUUAUUACACAUUACAUUUAAUUUUGAUUACACAUCGAGUCUUCUGUAGCUUAUACGUAAGUUAAUACAAAGUACAUGCGAAGUACAUGCGAUAAAGGUUCGUGAAGUAUUAUAGAUGAUUACAUUUGUACUCCUAACUCUGCAUCCCCAUACAAUUUAAACUUAAUAAUAGUAAUUAAGAACUCAGGGACAGAAUAACAUCUCUUCUAUCGUCAUCGAUGCCUUUUGUCGACAUGAAAAUGAAGUUUACGUUGCAAUUAUAUCGCAACCUUAUCAUUCGACGGAAUUGAGGAAAAUUAAUUCCAACAUAUUGUAGCGUUCCCAGGAAAUAAGACAUACAUUUUCACGAAAGCGUUUAUUCUAAAACUGUCAUCUCAACAAUCUCUAACUGAAAGAUGAUUGGCAGAAAUUAAGAGGAUUAUAUGUUAAUAAUAGCAAAGUAGAGAUCAGAGUUUAAACGAUGACUCAAGUAUCAAGUUAAAAAAAGCUACAGUUAUUAAAAACCAGAUGUUCACGGAGGUCACUUGGAAUCAUCAGGUGCACAUAUAUCAAGGAACGGGUUCAUCGCAAUAACGAUAUCUAUGCUGUAAAUAUGCCUGGAGAUCUAUUCUUUGUAAAGAGAUCAAUGUGAACAUUCAUCGCGUUUACGAACUAGACUGAAAAGCGAAUUAAGAAAAAAGUGAAACAGAAAUUUUGAUUAUGCAGUGCCAGUGCCAGUAUUUAAUAAUCAUUAAUUCAAAUUAAAGCUAUAAGAAUCUAAAUAACAUCUUUUAAACUUUACACGAUUUUCUAGAUUUUCACGAAACUUGCUAUUCAUAGUUACCUUACAAUGACAUGUAUCCGGUUACAAAGAAUUUUUCGCAUAAAUAAUUGAAUUUCGUUUAUGUUUGUGCUAAAUUGUAUUUGAUCCAUUUAUACAUUAUGUCAGUACAUUUCUUCAAUUGAUAAGAAUAAUCGUCAAGUAAUCAGAAUGAUGAUAGUGACCUGUAAUAUACAGUUUGAAUAUUUAUGUAUGUAGACUCAUUACUCUUUUACGAUUAUGUGUGUGCAUACGCAUGUGUUUGUGUGUGUGGUACAUAUAUCUCAAUCUCCUUGCAGGCUUAUAAAUAUUGAGAACAAAACAAAAUGAAAUUUGGUUGAAAGUACUAAAAACUUAGACGAUUCUAUCAUACAUUACUGUGCUAUCGCACAAACAAGAAGAAAUAAUAAAAAUGGAGCUUCAGGAAAAAUCACCUUUCACUCAGAAAAAUCCUAUUUACGAUAGUAUCCCUCUUAUUAUUAUUGAUAAGAUGGGAAAAGAAUGUUUCAAAGAUAAAACGGAAAAUAUAAAAUAUUAUGUUUCUAAUCCAUUUUGGAUGAAAUUUCGAUUAUUAUUAUUUUGGACAUUGUGGGCCAUAUUAAUAAUGGCGAUGAUAAUUUCUUUUUUCAUUUACUUUUGUUUUACGCCUCGAAUAUGCCUCAGUUCAAGUAUCCAUAGAAAUAUGCACAAAUAAUAAAUGCAUUCUUUCAUAAAGUGCAAUGGAACGGCGUAUUAUAAUAACUUGAAUUAUUAUAUAUUUGUAUCAUAUAUUCAUAUUUCAAAUAACAAUAUUGUCAAAAUUAUUAAUAAUGUAACGAGCAACAAGACAAUAAUGUAUUUAAAAUAAGUAUUAUUUUUAAAAAAUUAAUUGUUUAUUCUCAUUAUGCAUAUAUUGUUAUAAAUAUUAUAUAUAAAUAUAUAAAUAUUAUAGAUAUUAACAA
Molecule: long non-coding RNA, 1754 nt
Filed under: Pogonomyrmex barbatus (red harvester ant)
Lineage: Eukaryota; Metazoa; Arthropoda; Insecta; Hymenoptera; Formicidae
Description: uncharacterized LOC105424841, transcript variant X1
Source: RNAcentral